RNAcentral lists this long non-coding RNA (1074 nucleotides) under Macaca fascicularis (crab-eating macaque). RNAcentral describes it as "lncRNA (ENSMFAG00000057097.1)". The record is from RNAcentral. Lineage: Eukaryota; Metazoa; Chordata; Mammalia; Primates; Cercopithecidae.
AAUGAAGGUCUUAUGACCUACCGUCAAACAAGGUAGGUCAGAUAAUUUCUUUAUGGCCAGUUUUUACAUGCAAAGGUGAAGGGAAAGUUGGAGUAAUGUUUUUAGGUUUUAUGGCUGGUUUUGGGGAAAAGAGGUUCUGGUUUCUAUGACCCGCUCUAGUUUCUAUAGCUAGGUUUGGGGGUAGAAUGGACUAAGUAAGAGACAGGAGAGCGGGAGAAGAUCAGAGAAAAACUUUUGCUUUUCAGGUCUUUGUUUUGGGGUAUUGUUUUCUGAGUCCCAACACCUCCAUAAAGCACUUAGCAUGGUGCCUGGCAUAUAGUAGAUGUUCAAUAAAGGGUGACAUCUUUUAUUAUCAACUACAAAGACAUAAGGCAGGAAAGCUCAAUAGGUUUGAGUAAAAGACAAUGGUUUCUGCUUCACUAGAGAAAAAAGGAGUUUAGGAAAAAGAAGGCUUUACAUUUUAUGAUGGGGCUAGACUGGUCUUGAAUGCCAGGUUUGGAAAAUGAGGUUUUGUGGAAGAGGAGAUAACAAGACUUAAGUCACUCUUGGAGAUCUUGGAGGGUUAUUCCUUUUCUUGUAACUAGUUCUGUCAAGUCAUUCUCUCAUUGGUAUUAGAAUAUAUAUAGUGUCUCUCUGUGUGCACUGUACACUUUCUUCCGAUUUUUAAAAUUUUCAGAUGUAAUGAAUGUCAUCUAAAUUUGUAAAUAACCAGGAAAUCUUUGGGCCGCAUGAGCGAAGGGAUUAUUAGAAAUGGAAAAAAAAAAAAAAAAAAAGGCUGGGUGUGGUGGCUCACACAUGCAAUCCCAGCACUUUGGGAGGCUGAGGUGGGCGGAUCACCUGAGGUCAGGAGUUCGAGACCAGCUUGGCCAACAUGGUGAAACCCCAUCUCUACUAAAAAUACAAAAAUUAGCCUGGUGCGGUGGCGCUGCCUGUAAUCCCAGCUACUUGGGAGACUGAGGCAGAAGAAUCACUUGAACCCAGGAGGUGGAGUUUGCACAGUGAGCUGAGACUGCGCCACUGCACUCCAACCUGCGCAACAGAGCAAGACUGUCUCAAAAAAAAAAAAAAAAAAAA